GACGAACGCUGGCGGCGUGCUUAACACAUGCAAGUCGAACGGUAAGGCCCUUCGGGGUACACGAGUGGCGAACGGGUGAGUAACACGUGGGUGAUCUGCCCUGCACUUCGGGAUAAGCCUGGGAAACUGGGUCUGAUACCGGAUAGGACCACUGCCUGCAUGGGUGGUGGUGGAAAGCUUUUGCGGUGUGGGAUGGGCCCGCGGCCUAUCAGCUUGUUGGUGGGGUGAUGGCCUACCAAGGCGACGACGGGUAGCCGGCCUGCGAGGGUGACCGGCCACACUGGGACUGGGAGACGGCCCAGACUCCUACGGGAGGCAGCAGUGGGGAAUAUUGCACAAUGGGCGCAAGCCUGAUGCAGCGACGCCGCGUGAGGGAUGACGGCCUCCGGGUUGUAAACCUCUUUCAGCACCGACGAAGCGCAAGUGACGGUAGGUGCAGAAGAAGGACCGGCCAACUACGUGCCAGCCGCCGCGGUAA
This 478-nucleotide ribosomal RNA is filed under the name uncultured bacterium. RNAcentral's name for it is "partial 16S ribosomal RNA". It matches the Rfam family "Bacterial small subunit ribosomal RNA", at positions 28 to 523 of the family's 1533-position model. The record is from RNAcentral.